AGCGGCGGACGGGUGAGUAAUGUCUGGGAAACUGCCUGAUGGAGGGGGAUAACUACUGGAAACGGUAGCUAAUACCGCAUAACGUCGCAAGACCAAAGAGGGGGACCUUCGGGCCUCUUGCCAUCAGAUGUGCCCAGAUGGGAUUAGCUAGUAGGUGGGGUAAUGGCUCACCUAGGCGACGAUCCCUAGCUGGUCUGAGAGGAUGACCAGCCACACUGGAACUGAGACACGGUCCAGACUCCUACGGGAGGCAGCAGUGGGGAAUAUUGCACAAUGGGCGCAAGCCUGAUGCAGCCAUGCCGCGUGUGUGAAGAAGGCCUUCGGGUUGUAAAGCACUUUCAGCGAGGAGGAAGGUGGUGAACUUAAUACGUUCAUCAAUUGACGUUACUCGCAGAAGAAGCACCGGCUAACUCCGUGCCAGCAGCCGCGGUAAUACGGAGGGUGCAAGCGUUAAUCGGAAUUACUGGGCGUAAAGCGCACGCAGGCGGUUUGUUAAGUCAGAUGUGAAAUCCCCGGGCUCAACCUGGGAACUGCAUUUGAAACUGGCAAGCUAGAGUCUCGUA
Molecule: ribosomal RNA, 563 nt
Filed under: Serratia sp. (in: enterobacteria)
Lineage: Bacteria; Pseudomonadati; Pseudomonadota; Gammaproteobacteria; Enterobacterales; Yersiniaceae
Description: bacterial SSU rRNA
Rfam family: Bacterial small subunit ribosomal RNA
Source: RNAcentral